Molecule: ribosomal RNA, 502 nt
Filed under: uncultured bacterium
Lineage: Bacteria
Description: partial 16S ribosomal RNA
Rfam family: Bacterial small subunit ribosomal RNA
Source: RNAcentral
AUUGAACGCUGGCGGCAGGCUUAACACAUGCAAGUCGAGCGGGGUGAUGGUGCUUGCACUAUCACUUAGCGGCGGACGGGUGAGUAAUGCUAGGAAUCUGCCUAUUAGUGGGGGACAACAUCUCGAAAGGGAUGCUAAUACCGCAUACGUCCUACGGGAGAAAGCAGGGGAUCACUUGUGACCUUGCCCUAAUAGAUGAGCCUAAGUCGGAUUAGCUAGUUGGUGGGGUAAAGGCCUACCAAGGCGACGAUCUGUAGCGGGUCUGAGAGGAUGAUCCGCCACACUGGGACUGAGACACGGCCCAGACUCCUACGGGAGGCAGCAGUGGGGAAUAUUGGACAAUGGGGGGAACCCUGAUCCAGCCAUGCCGCGUGUGUGAAGAAGGCCUUAUGGUUGUAAAGCACUUUAAGCGAGGAGGAGGCUCUUUUGGUUAAUACCCAAGAUGAGUGGACGUUACUCGCAGAAUAAGCACCGGCUAACUCUGUGCCAGCCGCCGCAGUAA